GCCUGCCGCCAUACUACCUCCAAUUAUGAUCUCAUCAGAUCUCACAAGCUAAGCAGGCUCCAGCCAUGUCAGCAGUUGGUUGGGAAACGUCCAAGGAAAAGCUAAGCGCUUCAGGAA
This is a ribosomal RNA of Chelonoidis abingdonii (Abingdon island giant tortoise), 117 nucleotides long. NCBI's taxonomy places the organism in Eukaryota, Metazoa, Chordata, Testudines, Testudinidae. The record is from Ensembl.